Molecule: ribosomal RNA, 369 nt
Filed under: Hapalopeza nitens
Lineage: Eukaryota; Metazoa; Arthropoda; Insecta; Mantodea; Gonypetidae
Description: partial 12S ribosomal RNA
Source: RNAcentral
AUAYCCUAUUAUUUUUAAUGUAAAUUUUUAACUUGAGUAUUAUUAGUUAUAAUCUUUAAACUUAAAGAAUUUGGCGGUAUUAUAUCUAUUUAGAGGAAUCUGUCACAUAAUCGAUAAUCCACGUUAUACCUUACUUAUAUUAAUUUUUGUAUAUCGCUGUUUUUGAAUAUAUUUUUAGAUUAUUUUCUAAAUAUUAAAUUUUUUAGUAUUUCAAGUCAAGGUGCAGUAAAUAUAUAAGUUAGUGAUGGAUUACAAUAAUUUAUAUUUAUAUGGAUUUUUAUUGAAAUAUAUUUUUGAAGGUGGAUUUAAUAGUAAUUUUAUAAAUAUUAUUAAAAUGAUUAAUAKYUCUAUAAUAUGUACACAUCGCCC